AAAGGGGUGCUAAUACCCGAAUGAAUGUAAGAGUAUCGCAUGAGACACUUCUAAAGGAGGCCUCUGAAAAUGCUUCCGCUUGAAGAUGAGCUUGCGUCUGAUUAGCUAGUUGGUGAGGGUUAAAGGCCCACCAAGGCGACGAUCAGUAGCCGGUCUGAGAGGAUGAACGGCCACAUUGGGACUGAGACACGGCCCAGACUCCUACGGGAGGCAGCAGUGGGGAAUCUUCCGCAAUGGGCGAAAGCCUGACGGAGCAACGCCGCGUGAACGAUGAAGGUCUUAGGAUCGUAAAGUUCUGUUGUUAGGGACGAAGGGUAAGAAUCAUAAUAAGGUUUUGUUUGACGGUACCUAACGAGGAAGCCACGGCUAACUACGUG
RNAcentral lists this ribosomal RNA (377 nucleotides) under uncultured bacterium. Its description in RNAcentral is "bacterial SSU rRNA". It matches the Rfam family "Bacterial small subunit ribosomal RNA", at positions 154 to 507 of the family's 1533-position model. The record is from RNAcentral.